RNAcentral lists this ribosomal RNA (487 nucleotides) under Veillonella sp. oral taxon E53. RNAcentral's name for it is "bacterial SSU rRNA". It matches the Rfam family "Bacterial small subunit ribosomal RNA", at positions 28 to 484 of the family's 1533-position model. The record is from RNAcentral. Lineage: Bacteria; Bacillati; Bacillota; Negativicutes; Veillonellales; Veillonellaceae.
GACGAACGCUGGCGGCGUGCUUAACACAUGCAAGUCGAACGAAGAGCGAUGGAAGCUUGCUUCUAUCAAUCUUAGUGGCGAACGGGUGAGUAACGCGUAAUCAACCUGCCCUUCAGAGGGGGACAACAGUUGGAAACGACUGCUAAUACCGCAUACGAUCUAAUCUCGGCAUCGAGGAUAGAUGAAAGGUGGCCUCUACAUGUAAGCUAUCACUGAAGGAGGGGAUUGCGUCUGAUUAGCUAGUUGGAGGGGUAACGGCCCACCAAGGCGAUGAUCAGUAGCCGGUCUGAGAGGAUGAACGGCCACAUUGGGACUGAGACACGGCCCAGACUCCUACGGGAGGCAGCAGUGGGGGAUCUUCCGCAAUGGACGAAAGUCUGACGGAGCAACGCCGCGUGAGUGAUGACGGCCUUCGGGUUGUAAAGUCUUUGUUAAUCGGGGGAAAAGGCCUUCUUUUUUUUUGUGAGAGAGGAUGACGUACCGGAAU